RNAcentral lists this ribosomal RNA (1538 nucleotides) under Parabacteroides distasonis. RNAcentral describes it as "16S ribosomal RNA". It matches the Rfam family "Bacterial small subunit ribosomal RNA". Lineage: Bacteria; Pseudomonadati; Bacteroidota; Bacteroidia; Bacteroidales; Tannerellaceae. The record is from RNAcentral.
CAAUUUAAACAACGAAGAGUUUGAUCCUGGCUCAGGAUGAACGCUAGCGACAGGCUUAACACAUGCAAGUCGAGGGGCAGCGGGGGUAGCAAUACCCGCCGGCGACCGGCGCACGGGUGAGUAACGCGUAUGCAACUUACCUAUCAGAGGGGGAUAACCCGGCGAAAGUCGGACUAAUACCGCAUGAAGCAGGGGCCCCGCAUGGGGAUAUUUGCUAAAGAUUCAUCGCUGAUAGAUAGGCAUGCGUUCCAUUAGGCAGUUGGCGGGGUAACGGCCCACCAAACCGACGAUGGAUAGGGGUUCUGAGAGGAAGGUCCCCCACAUUGGUACUGAGACACGGACCAAACUCCUACGGGAGGCAGCAGUGAGGAAUAUUGGUCAAUGGGCGCGAGCCUGAACCAGCCAAGUCGCGUGAGGGAUGAAGGUUCUAUGGAUCGUAAACCUCUUUUAUAAGGGAAUAAAGUGCGGGACGUGUCCUGUUUUGUAUGUACCUUAUGAAUAAGGAUCGGCUAACUCCGUGCCAGCAGCCGCGGUAAUACGGAGGAUCCGAGCGUUAUCCGGAUUUAUUGGGUUUAAAGGGUGCGUAGGCGGCCUUUUAAGUCAGCGGUGAAAGUCUGUGGCUCAACCAUAGAAUUGCCGUUGAAACUGGGGGGCUUGAGUAUGUUUGAGGCAGGCGGAAUGCGUGGUGUAGCGGUGAAAUGCUUAGAUAUCACGCAGAACCCCGAUUGCGAAGGCAGCCUGCCAAGCCAUGACUGACGCUGAUGCACGAAAGCGUGGGGAUCAAACAGGAUUAGAUACCCUGGUAGUCCACGCAGUAAACGAUGAUCACUAGCUGUUUGCGAUACAGUGUAAGCGGCACAGCGAAAGCGUUAAGUGAUCCACCUGGGGAGUACGCCGGCAACGGUGAAACUCAAAGGAAUUGACGGGGGCCCGCACAAGCGGAGGAACAUGUGGUUUAAUUCGAUGAUACGCGAGGAACCUUACCCGGGUUUGAACGCAUUCGGACCGAGGUGGAAACACCUUUUCUAGCAAUAGCCGUUUGCGAGGUGCUGCAUGGUUGUCGUCAGCUCGUGCCGUGAGGUGUCGGCUUAAGUGCCAUAACGAGCGCAACCCUUGCCACUAGUUACUAACAGGUAAAGCUGAGGACUCUGGUGGGACUGCCAGCGUAAGCUGCGAGGAAGGCGGGGAUGACGUCAAAUCAGCACGGCCCUUACAUCCGGGGCGACACACGUGUUACAAUGGCGUGGACAAAGGGAAGCCACCUGGCGACAGGGAGCGAAUCCCCAAACCACGUCUCAGUUCGGAUCGGAGUCUGCAACCCGACUCCGUGAAGCUGGAUUCGCUAGUAAUCGCGCAUCAGCCAUGGCGCGGUGAAUACGUUCCCGGGCCUUGUACACACCGCCCGUCAAGCCAUGGGAGCCGGGGGUACCUGAAGUCCGUAACCGAAAGGAUCGGCCUAGGGUAAAACUGGUGACUGGGGCUAAGUCGUAACAAGGUAGCCGUACCGGAAGGUGCGGCUGGAACACCUCCUUUCUGGA